Molecule: ribosomal RNA, 497 nt
Filed under: uncultured bacterium
Lineage: Bacteria
Description: partial 16S ribosomal RNA
Rfam family: Bacterial small subunit ribosomal RNA
Source: RNAcentral
GAUGAACGCUGGCGGCGUGCCUAAUACAUGCAAGUCGAGCGAACAGACGAGGAGCUUGCUCCUCUGACGUUAGCGGCGGACGGGUGAGUAACACGUGGAUAACCUACCUAUAAGACUGGGAUAACUUCGGGAAACCGGAGCUAAUACCGGAUAAUAUAUUGAACCGCAUGGUUCAAUAGUGAAAGACGGUUUUGCUGUCACUUAUAGAUGUAUCCGCGCCGCAUUAGCUAGUUGGUAAGGUAACGGCUUACCAAGGCAACGAUGCGUAGCCGACCUGAGAGGGUGAUAGGCCACACUGGAACUGAGACACGGUCCAGACUCCUACGGGAGGCAGCAGUAGGGAAUCUUCCGCAAUGGGCGAAAGCCUGACGGAGCAACGCCGCGUGAGUGAUGAAGGUCUUCGGAUCGUAAAACUCUGUUAUUAGGGAAGAACAAAUGUGUAAGUAACUAUGCACGUCUUGACGGUACCUAAUCAGAAAGCCACGGCUAACUACGUG